This 1221-nucleotide long non-coding RNA is filed under the name Hordeum vulgare. RNAcentral's name for it is "long non-coding RNA (HVUL_LNC008112)". The record is from RNAcentral. Lineage: Eukaryota; Viridiplantae; Streptophyta; Magnoliopsida; Poales; Poaceae.
ACUGUCUUUGGUCAUAGAAGGUUUUGGGAGGUGUGUGUGUGAUGCUCUGUUCUACCUUCCUAUAUGCACAUGAGGUGUUGAAUGAAAUGCCCGAGCCAUACUUAAGCUUUCUCCUCUGUUCUUCCUCCAAGCUCGACGUCCAAGCUCCAUUUUCCUCAAGAUUUGGCGAUGCACCAACUAUCCAAGUGUUCUAGAAGGUUAACAACUUCAUCCUUGUGGUUUGUGAGUUUUACUUGUAUGAUUAAGAUAGCUACUUUUUAUAAUUUUCUUACUUGUAUUAUUGCUUGUUAUUAUAUAGUGACAUGGUUUUGGUAUCCGCCCCCAUCGGCUCUCGUCUUGUCUAUGAUUCGGAUGUGGUAUAUUAUCUUUUAUAACUAUUUGUUUCGUUUAGUGUUUAUGACAAUUAUGCCGACCAAAUUGACAUAGAUGUCUUUAUCUAGGAGGUAUGUGAACCGGAAAUUCCAACCGACCCUCUUGUCGAGAGGUUAAAUCUAGUUGAACAAUAAAACAAUUAUUUGGAAAGAAGAGAAGAAGAGAAGAUGAAAUUGGAGUUGCAUGUUGCUGAUGUCAUCGAUCUACACAAGAUCUAGAAUCUCUCGGAAUGGUCAUGGCCUCAAGGAUGAUGUUCCCGCACAUCCCACACUGAACUAAAGCUGCAAAGAUCGUUUCGAAAAGAUUAACAUAUUUCCUCUUCCAAAUAAAACUUUUUCAAAAAAUACACGACACUCGGGUCGGUGGGGAUGGGCUGGUAUCUGUUAUCGCAAACCGGCGAGGCGUCACCGGAACCAAGAGGGACGCACUUGAGGACGACGUCGAUGACCAGACUGACCGACCCGAUGAGCAUGCUCAUGAGCCACACCGUCCCGUUGAGGUGCACCAUGUCGUUGAACAUUCCCAACAGCUCCACCAGGAUCACCUAGAACCCAACGGUGGCACAGGCCACCGCCGAGAAGACCCAACUACUGAACAUGCCGCUGAAGACGUUAAUCUUUUCCAUCUCCCUAUUGUUCACCUCGUUGAAGAUCUCAUGAAAGUAUCAAUACAAGUUAAGAGAGUUGUAUUUCGAUCUUGUGCUUGAGACUGUAGUACCUGGCAGAAGACAAAGGUGUUGAAGAUGAAGUUGUUGAGCAGUUUGUCGUCGCCCUUCAUUUGCAGGAGGCUCUCUCCUCAAGUUUAGGUUAAUUUAAUCAUACUUUUUGAAGCCUUUUUAUUAAAAAAAAU